UGGCGGCGUGGUUAAGACAUGCAAGUCGAACGAGAGAAUUGCUAGCUUGCUAAUAAUUCUCUAGUGGCGCACGGGUGAGUAACACGUGAGUAACCUGCCCCCGAGAGCGGGAUAGCCCUGGGAAACUGGGAUUAAUACCGCAUAGUAUCGAAAGAUUAAAGCAGCAAUGCGCUUGGGGAUGGGCUCGCGGCCUAUUAGUUAGUUGGUGAGGUAACGGCUCACCAAGGCGAUGACGGGUAGCCGGUCUGAGAGGAUGUCCGGCCACACUGGAACUGAGACACGGUCCAGACACCUACGGGUGGCAGCAGUCGAGAAUCAUUCACAAUGGGGGAAACCCUGAUGGUGCGACGCCGCGUGGGGGAAUGAAGGUCUUCGGAUUGUAAACCCCUGUCAUGUGGGAGCAAAUUAAAAAGAUAGUACCACAAGAGGAAGAGACGGCUAACUCUGUGCCAGCAGCCGCGGUAAUACAGAGGUCUCAAGCGUUGUUCGGAAUCACUGGGCGUAAAGCGUGCGUAGGCUGUUUCGUAAGUCGUGUGUGAAGGGCGCGGGCUCAACCCGCGGACGGCACAUGAUACUGCGAGACUAGAGUAAUGGAGGGGGAACCGGAAUUCACGGUGUAGCA
This 622-nucleotide ribosomal RNA is filed under the name Akkermansia muciniphila. Its description in RNAcentral is "bacterial SSU rRNA". It matches the Rfam family "Bacterial small subunit ribosomal RNA", at positions 37 to 680 of the family's 1533-position model. Lineage: Bacteria; Pseudomonadati; Verrucomicrobiota; Verrucomicrobiia; Verrucomicrobiales; Akkermansiaceae. The record is from RNAcentral.